Molecule: ribosomal RNA, 458 nt
Filed under: uncultured bacterium
Lineage: Bacteria
Description: partial 16S ribosomal RNA
Rfam family: Bacterial small subunit ribosomal RNA
Source: RNAcentral
CCUACGGGUGGCAGCAGUGGGGAAUAUUGCACAAUGGGGGAAACCCUGAUGCAGCGACGCCGCGUGAGUGAAGAAGUAAUUCGUUACGUAAAGCUCUAUCAGCAGGGAAGAAACACUGACCUUACGGUCAGCAGACGGUACCUGAGUAAGAAGCCCCGGCCAACUACGUGCCAGCAGCCGCGGCAAUACGUAGGGGGCAAGCGUUAUCCGGAUGUACUGGGUGUAAAGGGAGCGUAGGCGGUGCGCCAAGUCUGGAGUGAAAUGCCGCGGCUUAACUGCGGAACUGCUUUGGAAACUGGCGAACUAGAGUGCGGGAGAGGUAAGCGGAAUUCCUAGUGUAGCGGUGAAAUGCGUAGAUAUUAGGAGGAAUACCGAUGGCGAAGGCGGCUUACUGGACCGUAACUGACGUUGAGGCUCGAAAGCGUGGGGAGCAAACAGGAUUAGAUACCCGAGUAGUC